AGGGUUCGAUUCUGGCUCAGGACGAACGCUGGCGGCGUGCUUAACACAUGCAAGUCGAGCGGAGAAUAUAGCAAUAUAUUCUUAGCGGCGGACGGGUGAGUAACGCGUGGGCAAUCUGCCUCAUACAGGGGGGAUAACACUGGGAAACUAGUGCUAAUACCGCAUAAAAUAGUGAAGUGGCAUCACUUUACUAUCAAAGGAGCAAUCCGGUGUGAGAUGAGCCCGCGUCCGAUUAGCUAGUUGGAGGGUAACGGCCCACCAAGGCGACGAUCGGUAGCCGAACUGAGAGGUUGAUCGGCCACAUUGGGACUGAGACACGGCCCAGACUCCUACGGGAGGCAGCAGUGGGGAAUAUUGCGCAAUGGGGGAAACCCUGACGCAGCAACGCCGCGUGAAGGAUGAAGGUUUUCGGAUUGUAAACUUCUUUGAUUGGGGACGAUAAUGACGGUACCCAAAAAACAAGCCACGGCUAACUACGUGCCAGCCGCGGC
Molecule: ribosomal RNA, 491 nt
Filed under: uncultured bacterium
Lineage: Bacteria
Description: bacterial SSU rRNA
Rfam family: Bacterial small subunit ribosomal RNA
Source: RNAcentral